AUUGAACGCUGGCGGAAUGCUUUACACAUGCAAGUCGAACGGCAGCACGGGGGCAACCCUGGUGGCGAGUGGCGAACGGGUGAGUAAUACAUCGGAACGUGCCCAGUCGUGGGGGAUAACGUAGCGAAAGUUACGCUAAUACCGCAUACGAUCUACGGAUGAAAGCGGGGGACCGUAAGGCCUCGCGCGAUUGGAGCGGCCGAUGUCAGAUUAGGUAGUUGGUGAGGUAAAGGCUCACCAAGCCGACGAUCUGUAGCUGGUCUGAGAGGACGACCAGCCACACUGGGGCUGAGACACGGCCCAGACUCCUACGGGAGGCAGCAGUGGGGAAUUUUGGACAAUGGGCGCGAGCCUGAUCCAGCCAUUCCGCGUGCAGGACGAAGGCCUUCGGGUUGUAAACUGCUUUUGUACGGAACGAAAAGGCUCUGGUUAAUACCUGGGGCUCAUGACGGUACCGUAAGAAUAAGCACCGGCUAACUACGUGCCAGCCGCCGCAGUAA
Molecule: ribosomal RNA, 500 nt
Filed under: uncultured bacterium
Lineage: Bacteria
Description: partial 16S ribosomal RNA
Rfam family: Bacterial small subunit ribosomal RNA
Source: RNAcentral